CAGUGAGCAUGCGCAGAACGGAAGCAAAUCACGGGCAAGGGGUGUUUGUGCCACACAGAAAAGAGGCAAAGGAAAGGUCUGCACCCCAACUUCUGCAGGAGCUGAGGUGCUAGCAUGCUGCUUCAGGCUCACGGACAGCCAGACGCUGGUGAUCACCUAUGCAGCUUCGUGGUCUUUUCUUCUCUAGCACACUCCUGUUCUACCCGGAGGACCGAAUGAGAGACCCACACUGAUAUCCCGGCUCUGCAAACCUGACUCUGCAGCGAUGUUCCGAUAUUAAACAGAGCCACAUGCUGCCUCGAGACUGUCGUAUGGUUAGAGUGGAACCCAGCAUCCCUCGCAUGGUCCACAGGCCACUAUUUAAGGAGAGAAUGUUUUAGUUCCUGACUUAAACCAGAGAGCUCAACUCCAUAGGAAAAGACACUGAGUCGGUUGACAGAAGACUUGAGCUCUAAUUCCAUCAUCUCUACAGCUUGGACCCGGCACCCUGCUGCUAGCAGGGUCAUUUUGAGGAAUCCAUCCCGUCCUCUCCUCUGCUGCUGGCUGCACCGCCUCGCUGAUGUGGUGGGGAGCGUGGACUCAGUGGUGUGCACAAGGGAAGAUGUGACACCCAGGCUAUCACUGAGUAACUUUCACUGAAGAGAAGCUGAGAACAAGGAGAAAAGACCCUGCUGGUUGGUAAGCAGGUUCAGGGUAAGUAGAGAGUUUUCUAAGGCUUCACUGGGUUUGGGCUCAGGCUGUCUGAGCUAGGGCUCAGGCAGCAGGAAGAGGGACCGGCUAUUUCCUGAGAGCCACACCUCCAGGAGGAGCUGAGAGGAAGCAUAAGCCCGGAUCUGUGUGGGAAGCAGCCCUCACCGGCAGCCAGGCCGUAGGAGCCCUGUGACUCAUGAGCCUUUCCCAGCAGCAGCACAGAAAGAAGCCAGCAUCUCAGAUGCUUUAAGUGUUGAUUUGUUUAAAACAAAACCAUGAAAUUUACCAUGAACUCCUGAAGAUGAUCUCAAAAAUUCGUUAUAAACUGCUUCAAACUAGAAGAGAAUGCCGUGCCUGAUGCACUGUACAUCUAACCGUGUUAGAGCUGACAGCAUCAAAGACACAAAAUCAUCUCGUGGAGAUGCUGUUUACACUGAACUGCCUUGAUAAAAAAGGAUUGCUGAUUUUUGAGAGUAGUCAUGGACAUCAUUGACAACAGAUAAUAAAUUUAAAAGCUUUAAUUUUGCAGUUGGCUUUAAAAGGCAAGGUUAUGUCUUAGAUGUGGUAAUGGCCAAGUGAAUUCCUCACUGUCUGGUUGGGACUGGUGGGUGUGCUGACCUCAGCCCUUCCCCAGACUUUCUGUAAGGACUGGGGCUUCAGCUCUGCUCUCUGGGCCUCCUGUGCUCCCAGAGGAACCUGGCCUCCUUAGGUUCACUGCUAACCUCCAAUGCCUCACUUCCUAAAAUCACAUAAAAUGCCAUGGAGCAGUGCAACUGAGGGGCACCAGAGACUGGUCCACCAGUUUCCUUUUGAUUCCUGCUGAAAUUCAGACUUUUGCAGAACAUGGUGGCUGAGUUUCUUAAAGGUACACAGACUGUUGAGCAACAAAUCACAUAGAGGUGAUAUGGAGAGAGACAGACAGACAGACACACAGACUAAAUAAAGUUGAAUUUCAGGUGCAUACUAAGAAGAAAAGGACCUUACCCCCAA
This 1680-nucleotide long non-coding RNA is filed under the name Cavia porcellus (domestic guinea pig). RNAcentral's name for it is "lncRNA (ENSCPOG00000036446.1)". Lineage: Eukaryota; Metazoa; Chordata; Mammalia; Rodentia; Caviidae. The record is from RNAcentral.